GGUCUCCUCUCGGGCUAGGGCACGGGGGAGGCGCGGGGAGGGGGCGCUCAGAAAGACUCAAAGCUGCGCCCGCGUCCCGGGUCCUCGCAAGGGCUCGCGAUGCGGUCUCCCAAGGCCGGGAGGGGGACGGUCCGGAGCUCCCAGCCUCUGUCCAGGGACCAGUGUUCCAGAGCAACGCCGUGGGCACUAGCUGGUUUAGUGGGAAGAGGAGGAGCCCCUUGCAGACGCUCUACGACCUGGACCAGGUAGGCGGACCCCUCCCCGUGCGCCCGCGUGGACCGGCUGUCCAGGGGCUGCGGCCGCCUCCGGCUCUGGCCAGGGAGCGAAGGCCGGGCCGUGACGGGGCGAACGCUGGGGGCAGGCGGAGAGACCUGGGGGCGUCCAGGUGUGGACUACGCCGGGCUCUGUGCUGCAGAGUUCCGCGUGGGGGACAUAAUGAGCAGUGGGCUGCGUGCCACCCACAGCAGGAGGGACGCGAAGGGAAGCCCCAGGCUCAGUGCCGCUGGGACGGGGAGACGGGCCGGGCAUGCCGCCCCCCACCCCCAGGCCUGAGGGGCCAUAUGCUGUUCCCAGUGUGCGCCAACUGAGCCCACAGGCCCAGCUCACACACGCCCCUGAAGGCGCCCUCAGCACUACUGAGCACCUGCCGGCUCGGGCCCUGCUCCAUCAGCGCAGGAGCCUCACCUGGACCUCUGCCCUUGUGGUGCUGAUGGGAGGGGCCUGGUGUAGGCGGAGACCCUCCCUGGGGCGGGGCGGAGCGGCGGGCGUGGGGGCGG
This 776-nucleotide long non-coding RNA is filed under the name Ovis aries (sheep). Its description in RNAcentral is "lncRNA (ENSOARG00000026680.1)". Lineage: Eukaryota; Metazoa; Chordata; Mammalia; Artiodactyla; Bovidae. The record is from RNAcentral.